This 500-nucleotide ribosomal RNA is filed under the name uncultured bacterium. RNAcentral describes it as "partial 16S ribosomal RNA". It matches the Rfam family "Bacterial small subunit ribosomal RNA", at positions 30 to 523 of the family's 1533-position model. The record is from RNAcentral.
AUUGAACGCUGGUGGCAUGCCUUACACAUGCAAGUCGAACGGCAGCACGGGAGCAAUCCUGGUGGCGAGUGGCGAACGGGUGAGUAAAGUAUCGGAACGUGCCCAGUCGUGGGGGAUAACGUAGCGAAAGUUACGUUAAUACCGCAUACGAUCUAUGGAUGAAAGCGGGGGAUCGCAAGACCUCGCGCGAUUGGAGCGGCCGAUAUCAGAUUAGGUAGUUGGUGGGGUAAAGGCUCACCAAGCCGACGAUCUGUAGCUGGUCUGAGAGGACGACCAGCCACACUGGGACUGAGACACGGCCCAGACUCCUACGGGAGGCAGCAGUGGGGAAUUUUGGACAAUGGGCGAAAGCCUGAUCCAGCCAUGCCGCGUGCAGGAUGAAGGCCUUCGGGUUGUAAACUGCUUUUGUACGGAACGAAAAGGUUUGGCCUAAUAAGCUGAGCUCAUGACGGUACCGUAAGAAUAAGCACCGGCUAACUACGUGCCAGCAGCCGCCGUAA